This 315-nucleotide unclassified non-coding RNA is filed under the name Hevea brasiliensis (rubber tree). The record is from RNAcentral. Lineage: Eukaryota; Viridiplantae; Streptophyta; Magnoliopsida; Malpighiales; Euphorbiaceae.
AACUCCAGCUCCUCUUGCAUAUAUUUCCCCAAGAAGUUCCAUAGAUCUCGCCUCACCCUUCUCCACUGCCUUCAGAAACCAUGUUAAUGCCUUGGUGUGAUCACGUCGUACUCCCCUUAAUCCAAAGUAGUAGAAUAUCCCAAUUUUAUACAUUGCACCGGCAUUCCCUUUUUGUGCCUGGUAUUCCAAAAUCUGGAAGUCCUCAUCCUCCUCACCUCGGGACUUCCUCAAUGCUUCCUUAUUUUCCUCUGCUCCGCUGUGUAUCCUCACUGGUUCAAUCACAGGUGGCCAUUAACAGUUUCCUGAUAUCAAAGG